AUGACACAAGGCCUGAGCUGUAGGUGCACAUACAGACAAACUGCAGAGUUUUGUGUUCUGCACAGAAGUUCCUUGCUCCAGCAAGCAGCCUUUGGGACCUGCCUGAGCCAGAGCUCUAACCUUGCCAGAGAGAAGGGCAAGAGAAGACACCAGAGAGCUCAGGAACCAACUCUGCCAGUGCUCAGCUGCUGCCUGCAGAUCCACCCAAGUGCUGUCAGCUCACCAGCUAAAGGAGGAGGACAUUCACUCAGGUUACUUUAAAUAGCAGAGGAAAGGAAAUUAACAGAGGAACCGGCAAAGCUCAUCUCGCUUCUCAGAAUUGAUUCUCUGACCUUUUUUCCUGUCUGUGCUCCCCCCCACCCCACCCCCCGAAAAUCUGCUUUUCAUCUGCAUCAUUCCAACCUCCUGCAACAGAGGAAGUCCCCGGAGCUUUUUGAGCCCUUUUAAAAGAAUCCACCUCUGCAGACAGACACCGAGCUUCGUUUCUGGUAAGGUUUUCAAUCUCUCACCCCUUUGUCUGUGUUUUAUACGUCAGCCUGCUCCUGCUGGGUGGGCAGGAAGGGGCCGGGUGCUGCUGCUGAGUCCUGACUGGGUCACCCAGCGCUGCUGGGCUGUCGGGCUCGCCUAUAAAACACAGCGCGGUCCCGCAGCCGCCGCAGCCUCUCCUCCUCCUCCUUGUUUUUCCUGGAAUACU
This 694-nucleotide long non-coding RNA is filed under the name Cyanistes caeruleus (blue tit). RNAcentral describes it as "lncRNA (ENSCCEG00000022382.1)". Lineage: Eukaryota; Metazoa; Chordata; Aves; Passeriformes; Paridae. The record is from RNAcentral.